AGAGGAGAAAAUAUAUAAUCAUAUAACUCACUUUAUUCAUCUCAUAAUCUCUGCAUUUUGCAAGGAGAUCGAAACUGAGCAAAACAUACGUACACAAAGACAGAGAAAUAAAAUAUAGGGUACAAACAAUAUCAAUAGCUUAGACAACAUGAAGCUACAAAAGAACUUCGCCUCCUGUGGGGCUUAUUAUUUACUCUUUUUUUUCUUCUUCUUUUCUCAUUGCCUCUCGAAAUUGGGAAAAGCCUUUUCUUUUAGCUCAACAUUAUGCUUUUCCUGCAUAAGAAUAUACAUUGUGUGCUUAGGUUCUUAGUAAUAUCAAAAGAAACUGAAAAUUCUGAACAGCUAAUAACUGAUAAAUGAAGCUAAGAAAACAAGAAGCAGAGAGCGCAGUUCUUUAUAUUAUAUUAAUGUUUUGCAUGAACACAGUUAUAUAUGCAAUUUGCUUUGCAUUCUUGACAUAUCAUUUGGAAAAUGUCUUAAUUAAUUUGGCUUAAUUACCUUCAACUUCGUGAUGUUACUUCUUAGUAGUGGUAGGGAGGAGGAGGAGAAGCGUAAAGAUAGGGGUGGUGUGGUGCUGGAGACUUGUAGACUGGAGUUGGUGGUGGAGGUGACUUGUAAACAGGAGUUGGUGGUGGUGGAGACAUAUAAACUGGUGCAGGAUGGUAUGGUGUUGGUGAAGGAUGGUAUGGCUUCACUGGUGGCGGUGGUGACUUGUAAACUGGUGCAGGAUGAUACGGUGUUGGUGAAGGGUGGUAUGGCUUCUUGGGUGGUGGUGGUGACUUGUAAACGGGAGCUGGUGGUGGUGGCGACUUGUAAACUGGUGUGUGUGGAGGGUAGUAUGGCUUCUUGGGUGGUGGUGGUGACUUGUAAACUGGAGUUGGUGGUGGUGGUGACUUGUAAACCGGGGUGUGUGGAGGGUAGUAUGGCUUCUUGGGUGGUGGUGGCGACUUGUAAACUGGAGUUGGUGGUGGUGGAGACUUAUAAACCGGGGUGUGUGGAGGGUAGUAUGGCUUCUUGGGUGGUGGUGGCGACUUGUAAACUGGAGUCGGUGGUGGUGGAGAUUUGUAAACAGGGGUGUGUGGAGGGUAGUAUGGUUUCUUGGGUGGCGGCGGUGACUUGUAAACCGGAGUUGGUGGUGGUGGCGACUUGUAAACUGGGGUGUGUGGAGGGUAGGAUGGCUUCUUGGGUGGUGGUGGUGACUUGUAAACGGGAGUUGGUGGUGGUGGCGACUUGUAAACCGGGGUGUGUGGAGGAUAGUGUGGCUUCUUGGGUGGUGGUGGUGACUUGUAAACUGGAGUUGGUGGUGGUGGAGAUUUAUAAACGGGUGCAGGAUGAUAUGGUGUUGGUGAAGGGUGGUAUGGCUUCUUAGGUGGCGGUGGAGACUUAUAUACAGGGUGGUGGGGUGGUGAUGGAUAGACAUGCACUGGUGGAAGAGGAGACUUGUAGAGGUAUGGUUUCUUAGGUGGUGGUGGAGAUGAGUAUUGAUAAUUUGCUGAGCUUUCAGAAGCUAAGCUAAGUGACACUAAAACUACAAAAAGAGUGGCAAAUAGAGAAGCCAUUUUCCCCAUCUUUGAAACAAAUGAGAAAAGUUGUUGUCUUCUUAAGCUUCACUACGACCCCUUUAUAUAGCUUUCAUUUAGACAAUUACCCUUUUCAAGAUUUUCAUAAAUGAAGGUAAAAGUCUCACUUAAAACCUACCAAAGUAAAGUAAAAAAGCUAGAGUAUAUAUGCAUUUUGAUUUGGUUUUGUCAUGUUGUCGGCUCAAAUUGACCUGAGUUGGUACACUUUUUUUGUUCGAUAGAGGCUGCAAGCUAAGCAAAGGAAUAAACUAUUAUGGCAGCUAUACUAUUUCUGAUGCAAUAAUUCAAAGAGAAAAGUCUCCUUUUACUUUCUAUCUUUUUAGACAGUACUGGAACUUUGAAAAACAAAUGUGGAUGCCUCAACUUUGCACGAUUUCAGUUACAGAAAUCAGAGCAGCUAGCUUUUAACUUAAAUUAAUGUUCUAUUCACAUGUAUGACUAAUUUCAAAAAGAAAAAACUAUGAAACUUGACAUUUACUACUGAAAUCACAAAGAGUGAAAUUAAUUCACUUGUAUGAGAAAUUGAUAAAUCGAGUGAAGUUAAUAUUCAAUCAUGAUUAGUAGUGUCAAUCAUUGUGUCGCUCCAAAGUUUUAUAACUAAACUAUGUAAAUGAUAACCAAUACAGUAAAUUAAGUUGAAUUCUCCUUGUAUGAUUAAUGCUUCUAGUGAAGAAUCGGACAUGGAUAGGAGGACUCAGUUCAGCUUAGAACAAGUUAAGUUUUUCGAUCACGGAUAGGUGUACAAGUUAAUUCUUGUGUACUUCUGACUAUAGUUAACUAACCUUCACAUGUGUUCAAGAAGCAUGUCAGGAUCUUUUAGCCUAUAAAAAUAGAGAAUAGUAGAGAAUUAAUUAAACACAAUACAUCAUAUUAAGAGAUAUAAUUCAAGAACCAAUUCAUACUUUGAUAGUAUGCAAAGACCAUUGUGCACUUCCAAUCAACGUAUAAGAAUCAAUAACUUAACUUAGAUCAUCAACUUUGGUGUUUUAUCGGAGGUUUUGGUUUUAUGUUCCCGUCCUUUGUAUUAUCUAUUUCGAUAUUAACAAUAGGGUAAGGGUCCAAAUCAAACCUCCCACCCCUCAACUUGGGGAGGAGUGGGGGAGUUUUAUGUGUAGCAUUUUCAGUAGGUCAUUUCCAAAGAGCUUAAUCUAGAGAAGACAAGAGAAAAACUGUGCAUGUGACCCACUUUUAUUACCAACCAAAUAGGGCAAAAUAUUCAACGAGUUUUGUAGCUCAAUAUUGAAAAUAUAUCUAAUUCAAUCCAAUAUUUCUGAAAAUGUUAGUUAUCAUAGUUUAUCAUCAUGGGAACAGACAAGAGGUACAAAAAAUCAUGUUCCAGCAAUGGACUAAAGUUGCAAAAAGGUAUCCAAAAGCAAAGGAAAA
RNAcentral lists this long non-coding RNA (2963 nucleotides) under Nicotiana tabacum (common tobacco). RNAcentral describes it as "long non-coding RNA (NTAB_LNC000477)". Lineage: Eukaryota; Viridiplantae; Streptophyta; Magnoliopsida; Solanales; Solanaceae. The record is from RNAcentral.